Molecule: ribosomal RNA, 433 nt
Filed under: uncultured bacterium
Lineage: Bacteria
Description: partial 16S ribosomal RNA
Rfam family: Bacterial small subunit ribosomal RNA
Source: RNAcentral
AGCGAACGCUGGCGGCAGGCUUAACACAUGCAAGUCGAGCGGGCCCUUCGGGGUCAGCGGCGGACGGGUGAGUAACGCGUGGGAACGUGCCUUCUGGUCUGGAAUAACCCUGGGAAACUAGGGCUAAUACCGGAUACGCCCUUUUGGGGAAAGGUUUACUGCCGGAAGAUCGGCCCGCGUCUGAUUAGCUAGUUGGUGGGGUAACGGCCUACCAAGGCGACGAUCAGUAGCUGGUCUGAGAGGAUGAUCAGCCACACUGGGACUGAGACACGGCCCAGACUCCUACGGGAGGCAGCAGUGGGGAAUAUUGGACAAUGGGCGCAAGCCUGAUCCAGCCAUGCCGCGUGAGUGAUGAAGGCCUUAGGGUUGUAAAGCUCUUUGAUCCGGGACGAUAAUGACGGUACCGGAGGAAUAAGCCCCGGCUAACUUCGUG